GCAUAUCAAUAAGCGGAGGAAAAGAAACCAACAGGGAUUGCCCUAGUAACGGCGAGUGAAGCGGCAACAGCUCAAAUUUGAAAUCUGGCUCUCGCCCGAGUUGUAAUUUGUAGAGGAUACUUUUGAUGCGGUGCCUUCCGAGUUCCCUGGAACGGGACGCCAUAGAGGGUGAGAGCCCCGUCUGGUUGGAUGCCAAAUCUCUGUAAAGUUCCUUCGACGAGUCGAGUAGUUUGGGAAUGCUGCUCUAAAUGGGAGGUAUAUGUCUUCUAAAGCUAAAUACCGGCCAGAGACCGAUAGCGCACAAGUAGAGUGAUCGAAAGAUGAAAAGCACUUUGAAAAGAGAGUUAAAAAGUACGUGAAAUUGUUGAAAGGGAAGCGUUUAUGACCAGACUUGGGCUUGGUUGAUCAUCUGGGGUUCUCCCCAGUGCACUCUUCCAGUCCAGGCCAGCAUCAGUUUUCCCCGGGGGAUAAAGACUUCGGGAAUGUGGCUCUCUUCGGGGAGUGUUAUAGCCCGUUGUGUAAUACCCUGGGGGGGACUGAGGUUCGCCAUCUGCAAGGAUGCUGGCGUAAUGGUCAUCAACGACCCGUCUUGAAACACGGACCAAGGAGUCGUCUUCGUAUGCGAGUGUUCGGGUGUCAAACCCCUACGCGUAAWGAAAGUGAACGCAGGUGAGAGCUUCGGCGCAUCAUCGACCGAUCCUGAUGUUCUCGGAUGGAUUUGAGUAAGAGCAUACGGGGCCGGACCCGAAAGAAGGUGAACUAUGCCUGUAUAGGGUGAAGCCAGAGGAAACUCUGGUGGAGGCUCGCAGCGGUUCUGACGUGCAAAUCGAUCGUCAAAUAUGGGCAUGGGGGGCGAAAGACUAAUCGAACCUUCUAGUAGCUGGGUUU
RNAcentral lists this ribosomal RNA (888 nucleotides) under Fusarium proliferatum. RNAcentral describes it as "partial large subunit ribosomal RNA". The record is from RNAcentral. Lineage: Eukaryota; Fungi; Ascomycota; Sordariomycetes; Hypocreales; Nectriaceae.